RNAcentral lists this unclassified non-coding RNA (769 nucleotides) under Elaeagnus argyi. RNAcentral's name for it is "partial contains small subunit ribosomal RNA, internal transcribed spacer 1, 5.8S ribosomal RNA, internal transcribed spacer 2, and large subunit ribosomal RNA". The stretch from base 338 to 493 matches the Rfam family "5.8S ribosomal RNA". The record is from RNAcentral. Lineage: Eukaryota; Viridiplantae; Streptophyta; Magnoliopsida; Rosales; Elaeagnaceae.
CCUUAUCAUUUAGAGGAAGGAGAAGUCGUAACAAGGUUUCCGUAGGUGAACCUGCGGAAGGAUCAUUGUCGAAACCUGCUAAGCAGUACGACCCGCGAACUUGUUUCAGAAUUGGGAGCGAUCUAGCCUCUCGGCUUGGAUGGCCCCGUUGUUGGCUGGAAUGUUGCUCGGUGCUUUCCCCUGCUCUAUGCACGCGGCAAGCACCGUAACAUGCCCUCCUGCAAAAAACUAACCCCGGCGCAAAUCGCGCCAAGGAACUCGAACGAAUGAGCGUGCUCCCCUUGGCCCGGAAACGGUGCCCAUGUGAGAGUCGCGUCGUAUUCGAUAUGUCAAAAAUGACUCUCGGCAACGGAUAUCUCGGCUCUCGCAUCGAUGAAGAACGUAGCGAAAUGCGAUACUUGGUGUGAAUUGCAGAAUCCCGUGAACCAUCGAGUCUUUGAACGCAAGUUGCGCCCGAAGCCAUCCGGUUGAGGGCACGUCUGCCUGGGCGUCACACACCGUUGCCCUCCUAACACCACGUGCCUUCGAGGCUGCGUCGGUUGCGAGGGCGUACAUUGGCUUCCCAUGAGCUGUGCCUUGUGGUUGGCCCAAAUUCUAGUCAUUGGCGACCAAUGCCACGACAAUUGUGGUUGUCGAACCUUCGGUGCCCCGUCGUCGGUUUUGGUCGUGCACGAUGCAAGGACCCCAACGCAUCCAACAUCGAUGCUUUCGAUGCGACCCCAGGUCAGGCGGGGCUACCCGCUGAGUUUAAGCAUAUCAAUAAGCGGAG